Molecule: long non-coding RNA, 230 nt
Organism: Rhopalosiphum padi (bird cherry-oat aphid)
Lineage: Eukaryota; Metazoa; Arthropoda; Insecta; Hemiptera; Aphididae
Exons: 4
Source: RefSeq, a predicted model, not a curated record
AUUUUAGUGACAGAUGAAAAAAAUAAAAUAUACCAGUCAGAAUUUGUAUCUAAAUACAGCGAACACUUGGAAAAACUAAUGUUAAAGAUUGAAGAAAGCGAAGAAGAAAAUAAACAUUAUAUACCCGCUGAUAGAACAAGAAGAAUCCCGUUCGAAUGGUGUAUGUUUACUGUCGUGCAGGAAACUAUAGAUUUAUGAAAUAUAAUAUAUUUUAUAAUUUUCAAUUACGU